AUUGAACGCUGGCGGCAGGCCUAACACAUGCAAGUCGAGCGGCAGCAGAGUAAUUGCUUGUGGUUACGGGGGGGGAGGGGCGGGUAAUGCAUGAGUAUAUGGCAAGCUACGGGGGCGUGGGUCCGGACGCAGGGGCACUUACGCCAUUACUGCAGAGGGCGUACGGGUGGAAUCAUCGGAUCUUCCGACCUCGGACGAGCCUAGGAGCCGAUGUCGGAUUAGCUAGUUGGCGGGGUAAAGGCCCACCAAGGCGACGAUCCGUUGCUGGUCUGAGAGGAUGAUCAGCCACACUGGAACUGAGACACGGUCCAGACUCCUACGGGAGGCAGCAGUGGGGAAUAUUGGACAAUGGGCGCAAGCCUGAUCCAGCCAUGCCGCGUGGGUGAAGAAGGUCUUCGGGUUGUAAAGCACUUUUGGUGGGAAGGAAGAGCAGUAAGUUAAUACCUUGCUGUUUUGACGGUACCCACAGAAUAAGCACCGGCUAACUUCGUG
RNAcentral lists this ribosomal RNA (492 nucleotides) under uncultured bacterium. RNAcentral's name for it is "partial 16S ribosomal RNA". It matches the Rfam family "Bacterial small subunit ribosomal RNA", at positions 30 to 507 of the family's 1533-position model. The record is from RNAcentral.